ACAUGCUCUCACUUACUUCGUCUGUCUGUACGUACACCCGCGAGCAAUCAGAAUAGAAGCGCUCAGGCUUUCCACCGUCCAUCCACGCGAGCAACAUGUCUUCAGACGUGCAACUGCGCGACGGAGCGAACCGAAUGAACACCGGCAUCACGGACACAGACCAAGCGAGGAGCGAGACCGCCUGAGAGCAUAUACACUCCAGAUACACCGCAGAUUGCCUUCUCGCCCUUGGGGAAUUCUGAUCGUCUGAGGUCGGCUCCGCUAACCACCAACAGAGCCUUUCAGCAGGAAGCAGGAUUUUCAGGUGUGAAGGCUUAUGAGCAGUGCAUUUCCUGAGGGAGCUUUUCCUGAGGCAGGAACAGAUGGACGGAAUAAACUUCACGUUGGGGAAUUCCUCUGAGGGAAAUGAAACGGAGCCAAAAGUGGAGACGAGCUCGUAUAAAACAGUGGAGGUGGUGUUCAUUGUGCUAGUAGCAGGCUCACUUAGCCUGGUAACUGUGGUUGGGAACAUACUGGUAAUGCUCUCUAUAAAAGUCAACAGAAGCCUACAGACUGUCAAUAACUACUUCCUGUUCAGCUUGGCAUGCGCUGACUUCAUCAUCGGGCUUUGCUCUAUGAACCUCUAUACUGUUUAUAUUGUCAUUGGUGCCUGGCCGCUUGGCCCUGUAGUGUGUGACCUGUGGUUGGCUCUGGACUAUGUGGUCAGUAAUGCAUCAGUCAUGAACUUGCUCAUUAUCAGUUUUGAUCGCUAUUUCUGCGUCACGAAGCCGCUGAGUUAUCCUGUAAAGAGGACGACUAAGAUGGCGGGGAUGAUGAUCGCUGCUGCCUGGGUGUUGUCCUUCAUCCUCUGGGCUCCAGCUAUUCUCUUUUGGCAGUUUAUUGUGGGUGGACGCACUGUGCCAGAAAGAGAGUGUUAUAUCCAGUUCUUUUCAAACGCAGCCGUUACUUUCGGCACGGCUAUUGCCGCCUUCUACUUGCCUGUAAUUAUCAUGAUGGUGCUAUAUUGGCAAAUCUCUCGAGCCAGCAAGAGUCGCGUGAAAAAGGACAACCGGAAGCCUUCAGGCACCAACACCGGAACUGGAUCUCCGGGUCAGAAUCGCAGCAACGCCGCCAACAAGCUGGACAACAACAAUGUGAUGGCCGAGGACCGCGAUAGGAAUCAAACCCAAACCACAGAAGAAAUGACCAACCAGCAUGACAGCAAACUGCAGAAUGGCAAAGCGCCAUCCACAGCCAGUGCUGAGAAAGAAGCCAAAGAAACCAAUCGGGACAACUGUGUCCCUGUUGAGGAGAAAGAGAGCUCCAAUGACUCCACUUCAGGCAGUGGGGCCACAGCUCAUCAGAAGCCAGAAGCCAACAACACUGAGACACCUGCACGGCACCAGGCCAAGACCGGUGCCUCUAAACUUACCUGUAUUAAAAUUGUCACCAAGUCCCCCAAGGGAGACUGUUAUACUCCCUCCAACACCACAGUGGAGAUCGUACCGGCAGCUGAGAAGCAGAACCAUGUUGCCCGCAAGAUUGCAAAGAUGACUAAGCAGCCCCCCAAAAAGAAGAAAGCAGCUCCUUCCCGGGAGAAGAAGGUGACACGCACCAUCAUGGCUAUCUUGGUGGCAUUCGUAGCCACGUGGACACCCUAUAACGUGAUGGUUCUCAUCAAUACCUUCUGCUCCAGCUGCAUCCCAAACACAGUGUGGACCAUUGGCUACUGGCUCUGCUACAUCAACAGCACCAUCAACCCUGCGUGCUACGCUCUGUGCAAUGCCACAUUCAAAAAGACCUUCAAACAGCUAUUGCUUUGUCAGUAUAAAAACAUACGCUCGACCAGAUGAGCUAGAAUAUCAGUAUGCAUGUUUGCAUGUAUGUUUAUGUUUUUUGUGCGUCUGUGAAUAGUUUGGAGUGAGUGUAAAACCCGUGGCAGCUGGGUGGGGCUUGGUUUCUUUUGGUUUUUGUAUCGUGUGGGUUCAGUUACUGACACCCUGUUGUAGCACUUUACACACAACACAACCACAACACACGUAGGCAAAUAGAUCUUUACGCUUUGUAUACAGAAACCUGAAAAGAUUUAAAACGCGACCGACCGUUUAGAGAAACCGGCGUGAAAAGAAAAAAAAAUCGCAGAUUGGAUUUUUAUUAGAUUUUGUAAAAUAGAAAUGUAUAAAAACAAUACGUUAAAUGUACAAUAGAUCGCAUGAAUAUACGUAUACAUAACUUAUUAGUGUGGCAGAAGACUGGAGCAGAAACUCCAUGUUUGUUUGAUAUUAAUGUUAUCUACAUAUAGUAGAGUAGCGAAACCAGAUUUCAUUUGAGAGAGCAGUAUAAUACUGAAUCUGCUCUUUUAAAGGGACAAUAGGGCUGACUGAACACUCAAACCUAGAGUUUGGACUUCAGUGUAAAAUAAUUUGUGUAAAUACUUGUUUAUAACCUUGUAUAGUAUGUGCCAUUUGCGUGUGUGUGUGUGUGCUGUGUGUGUGUGUGUGUGUGUGUGUGUGUGUGUGUGUGUGUGUGUGUGUGUGUGUGUGUGUGUGUGUGUGUGUGUGUGUGUGUGUGUGUAUGAGGUAGAUCUUGACUUAUAGACAGGAAUUAUAACUGAUGGGCUAUUGGCUGCUGUGUGUGCACGUGUGCGCGCGAGUGUGUGUGUGUGUGUGCAUGUGUGUGUGUGUGUGUGUGUGUGUGUGUGUAAGGUAGAUCUUGACUUAUAGACAGGAAUUAUAACUGAUGGGCUAUUGUCUGCUGUGUGUGUGCUGUGUGUGUGUGUGUGUGUGUGUGUGUGUGUGUGUGUGUGUGUGUGUGUGUGUGUGUGUGUGUGUGUGUGUGUGUGUGUGUGUGUGUGUGUGUGUGUGUGUGUGUGUGUGUGGACCCCAUAAGGGUACAAAAAUGAGGUGGACCCCAGAAUGUGAGAAAUGUGAGAAUGGUGUGUGUGUGUGUGUGUGUGUGUGUGUGUGUGUGUGUGUGUGUGUGUGUGUGUGUGUGUGUGUGUGUGUGUGUGUGUGUGUGUGUGUGUGUGUGUGUGUGUGUGUGUGUGUGUUGCUGGCCUAAAGCUGAAUGAGCUUUUGGAGAACCACUUUGCGGUAUCCCCAUGUAAGAGCGGGGCAGUGUGAAGUGCUCGGGCCUCCAGAGAUGCAAAUUAAAGGCUUUUAAAAUGAUGGCUGAUGAGCAGGGUGAAGAGACUCUUCUAUACAGAGCUGUUACCAUAGACUUAUUUUAAUAACUCUUUGCACACUGCUGUUUGUUUCAAUGUCACCGGAAGACAAAAAAAAACAAAAAACGUUUAGAGACAAUGAAGUGUCUGUCAUGCAUGGUGAUAACCCAUCUCCAGUUAUUUAAAACCCACUGCAAAAAAAAUCUCUUGCUUUCUCAUGAAAGAUGCAGAGAUGCAAAUGUAUGCUCAUGCCUGCAGCAAGAUGUUCAUUCAUGCAGUCUGCAGGUGGUUACACCAUACCGACAAGCCUGCAGCACUGUUCUGGAGGGAUCCUGUGUUUUUUCUGUCAGUGUAGCAGCGUGUGUUGAGACUCAGAGUUGAUUAUGAGAAAGGACUAAGCACUGGGUUGUGUAUGUAUAAUGUGUGAGUAGCGAUAGAGCUUCCUCUGAGUCUACCUCUCUGUGGUAUUGUGUUUUUUCACUGAGGUUUUCAAUCUGUGUGUGUGUGUGUGUGUGUGUGUGUGUGUGUGUGUGUGUGUGUGUGUGUGUGUGUGUGUGUGUGUGUGUGUGUGUGUGUGUGUGCAUGCGUGUGAAAGAUCACCCCAGAAUGGGGGUUAUUCUAAAUCACAGGCCUUGGUCUUGUGAAUUAAAAGGGCUAGAUAUUUUGCACGUCAUCAUUCAUGUAGCAUCACGUAAAUAAAAUAAAAUGACAGCAAUGAAAAUAUCCUGAAUAUACUCAACUUUUUUUUUUCCUUUUCCCAAUUACACCAAAUGUGAAACGAGUAAAUUUAUUCCUAAACAUUUCUUUUACUCAUUUCGAGCUUUUAGUAUUUUCAAGAUCGUUCUUAUCCUAUCUUGACUCUAUUCGACUUUUGCUUGCUUGACAAUUUUUUUGAGAAGCCUGUUGUAUUUGAGUAACUAUAAAUUCCCCGUUCUGUUGAUAUACUCGACCUCGACUGUCCAUCUGUAAUUCUACUAGAAGUGAUAAUGUUAUUGCAGGAUGCUGGCUAAUGUGAAAGAUUUAAAAGACUCGUGUCAGGGAAUGCGCCGAGUUUUAAUGUGAAAGAGGCAUGUUUUUGCCAAAGGGCAAUGAAGUGGAGUGAAUCUUUAGAUUGACUCGUGAGGAGCAUAAAGGUUUGCGCUGAACGCUGCUGUUCGAGUUAAGGAUUUUGGCUGCAGUGUUUGAAGCAGGAGCAGGUCCUUGCUAUGGGCAAUGUGAUACAGAGCAAUGUGGAUUAAAGAAAUAACACAAUCUCACGGUAAGAUGAAUCAGAUUAUCUGGCAAACCCGAACCCUCUGUGAGAUGGAAGAUUCAGCUGCCCCGCACCUUUUUUUAUAAUCUCUUUAUCCACGAAUCGUUAAAAAAAAAGGAGAAAUAUUUACAAAGAUUACGCUAAAAGUGUUUCCUUUUCACUUUCUUCCUGACACGUGCUCGACGAUCGACUCGACAGAAUAGUAAAUCGAUACAUAAACAUCAGCAAUAGAAUUAUUCACAGUAAAUGCUGCCAAGCGAGCCAGAAGAUUUUUAAGCUUAAGAUUAUUAAUCGGGGCUAAAAAAUAAUCUCGCUCCAUUAGCAGACGGUUUUGCUCAUAUUCAGAGUAUAAUUCUAGACAAAAUGCAAAAUGAUUUGUUAAUACGAUAAAAAAAAAAAAAAAUCUCACUAACUGAUUUAGCGAACCUAGUGGUCAAUACGGGAACUGCAACAAGCGUUAGUGGACAUCCAAAGAGGAGGAUUUUCCCUGCCUCACACACACACACAGUUUUCUAAUGGAGAUUAUUGGUUGCCAGAUUGGUGUAGUUUUAACCAAAUCUCUAGUCAGUGCCUUAACCAGUUGAGCCACCACCAUCCACCAGAAGAACGAGGCGACUUGCCAUGAGGCGACUUGCCACGAGGCGACUUGCCACCUAUUAGAAAUGUCUCACAAAUAACUCACACAUAAGAUGUAAUUGUCUUAACACUAGUUACGUCCAUGGGACUCGAUUCCUUUGCUAAAAAUUUGCAGUGUUUGCAGUUUACAAAUUCUUUUUAAAAAAAAUAUCUCACAUUUUUUGUCAUUUGGUUUGGUUUGUUGUAUAGAAAUGAAUUCAAUCCUUUCAUUAACAUUCAGCAUCAUGUUGUGGUGGAAUUCCAGGUAACAGACGUCGUUCCAGCGGCAGUGUUAGAAAUCCGAGGCUCUGACGACACGGUUCUUAAUUAAUUAGUCAGUCUAACUGUGUGUGUCCUGAACGGAGCUACCGCUAACCGAAAGUCAUCAAGUGCCUUACUGACCCGUCUAAUCAUCUUCUUACUUUUUUUUUUAUCUUUCUCCUCUUAUGAAACGUAGGAUCCGAUCGAACCCAAAGUUCUUUUUAUUCCGAUUUCUUCUUAAUUAUUCCUUAGCUCCCAUCAUCCUGACAGAUUUGCAUAGCAACAUGUAUCUAAAAAUACACUCUGGUCUUCAGAUGUGUUAAAAAAAAAGGACUGCGUUUAAACGUAUGCGCAGCCAAUCUCUGGAGGUCUGGGUAUGUUUGCUUUUGUGCGCUUUGUGUGUAUGACGUGAGUGUGUGUGUGUGUGUGUGUGUGUGUGUGUGUGUGUGUGUGUGUGUGUGUGUGUGUGUGUGUGUGUGUGUGUGUGUGUGUGUGUGUGUGUGUGAGUGAGUGAGAUCGUGUUCAUAUUAAGAUAUCAACAACAAUAAUGUGUAUAUGAAACGAUCAAAACUUUAUAAAAGAAUUACUCAGAUACAGAGGAAACACACACACACACACACACACACACACACACACACACACACACACAUUGGCAAUUUCUCACACAAAAAUGGGUGCCAAAGACACACUGCCAGCGGCAAGCCAACAAACAAACCCAUAAAUGAGAUGAGCAUGCUCAAAUACAUGACGCUUGCUGCACUGAAUCAAUUUGAAGAAAAAUAUCUAUCUUUUUUUUUUUUAUGAGGUUUUAUAAAAAUAAAUAUCCACUUAUUCUGUAUAGACGUGUUGUAUAUAAAGCAUGUGUUUAUCGCCGAACCGAGGAAAUGACUCCGGAGUAUCGAUUCUGUUGUUCUGGAGCAUCUGUCAGUGGAAACAAGAGAUAAUUGGAUGUUAAAUCAAGAAACCGAAUUCUCUAAACCCCCACAGACGAGCCGAGGUUUUAAUUAUCGAGACAGAAAGAGAGAUGAUGAUGAUGAAGACAGAAGAUCAUAAAUAGUAUAAAUAAUUGUCGUGUACAUUCAUCGAGUAGAAACACUUCAGCUUCGAUGUUUUGGGUUUAUUUUAUUUUAUUCGAUUUUAUUUUAUUUAUGUUUGCGUGACGGAUUUAAAACGAAUCUUGUGAGGCUUUUCUGUAGACGCUUUCUACAAAGUCAUGCCAGCUUUGCCUGUGAGCGAGGCAGGAAACGGCGAGGAAAAGAAAUAAAACCUUCAAGCAAAUCGUUAAAAAAAAAAAAAAAAAAGAAGGUAGAAAUAAGCACACAAAUUUCUCUCUUUCCUCAGGGAGUAAGGGAGGAAUGGACCAAAAAAAUAAUAAAAAGAAACAACAUCAAGAAAAAAGACAAACUAACUUGUCUACAGUAAAGAGUUAGAAAGUAGAAUACGUCUAGGAGGAUAUGUGGAAAUGUACUUCCUGUGUCUACUGUACAUACCGAACUCUUUAUGUUCUCAUGCUGAGGUGUCGUUCUUCACCUUCACGGUGGCUUGUGACUUUCAUCAAGUAGAAAAGAUGUUUGUUAAACAGUUCAAAGCUUUCCACUGUACAUACGGUAUAAAUAUAUAUAAAUAAAUCAAUCCAACGAACAUGUUACGUAGUUUGGCGCAGUUGAUCGAUGUAAAUACAUGUUUAUGAUUUCAUGUUUAUGAGCUCCUUUACUGUAUGUCUUCUUCUCAGCCCCUCGCUCUUCAGUCUUCCCUUCCUUCGCCGUCCCUCCUGUUUGUACGUCGUGCAACGGUUACCGAAUUCUUUAAGGAAAGUUGGAUGUUUAGAAAUUAUAAACGAUACUGUAACAUGAAAUACAUUUACGAUGAAUAUUGUGCUCUACUCUUUUGGAGAAUAAUUCUGUCGAAUAAAGAUAUAAGAGUCUGAGGAG
Molecule: RNA transcript, 7201 nt
Organism: Tachysurus fulvidraco (yellow catfish)
Lineage: Eukaryota; Metazoa; Chordata; Actinopteri; Siluriformes; Bagridae
Gene: chrm2a
Gene name: cholinergic receptor, muscarinic 2a
Exons: 4
Source: RefSeq, a predicted model, not a curated record